Long non-coding RNA from Mauremys mutica (yellowpond turtle), 230 nucleotides. RefSeq lists it as uncharacterized. Lineage: Eukaryota; Metazoa; Chordata; Testudines; Geoemydidae. The transcript has 4 exons. The record is from RefSeq and is a predicted model, not a curated record.
ACCCCCACCUCCUCUGCCACUGCCAGCAUCUUCCGCCCCCGUGGAUCCCCUUUUGGCGAUCAAGCAAAGGAAGGGGAUGCGGCAACAGAAACCCAGCGAACCUGCUACCGAUGACGUAAAAGCUCGAGCGGUGGAGGAAAUGAUGGCCAGGAUCAAGAGUGGGGUUGCCCUGAGACCAGCAAAGAAGGACAGGGCUGCAUUGUCCCAGGAUCGCUCACCAGCAGCCAGCA